AUUUCUUUCUCUGCCAAUACUGCCUUGUGCUGACCUUGGCUGAAUCACUCAUCCCAUUGGAGUUUCAUUAUCCGUCUUCUCUACCCAUCUGUGAACUCCCAGUGGAAGGGAGUUUUCUUAUUUAUCUGUGUACUUCCAGGGUUUAAUCCUAUGCCAGGUAUAGAUGACUCAAAAAGUGAUGAUUGAAUGGAGGACCAGGGAACAGAGUUUAAUUUUGACAAUGAUGAAACUCAACUUAAUGGCCUGGGCUACAAGAGAAGAGAUGGUGUGGCAGAUUGUAUGUUACAAAGAUUGCCUCAAUAAUAUCUCCUAUUCCACAUGCUCAUUCUUCAGUGUGACCUUGCCACUUCUUCCAUAGCAUGGUGAGGUAGAUGUCCCUUCCCCUUCCUUGACCACUAGCAUGUGGUAGAAUUGUUGCUAUGUGAGUUCUGAGGUUGCAUUAUAAAAAUGUCAUGUACUUCUCUGCCUUGCUUUCUUCAGACACUCUUUCUUGGAACCAAGUCACCAUGCUGUGACUAGGUCCAACCAGCCUAUGGAGAGGUACCUGUGGGGAGGAUCUGAGGUUGUGGUCUACAUCCUCAGCUGAGCUCCCAGCUGACAGUCAGCAUCAACUUACCAGCCAUCUUGAAAAUGGAUUCUCCUGUCCCCAGCCAGACUACUCCAGUUGAUGCCAUGUGGAACAGAGAUGAGCCAUCCCAUCAUGCCCUGCCCAAUUUGUAGAUUCAUGAGUUAAGUCAAUGACUAUUGUCGUCUUAAGCCACUAUGUUUUGGGGUGUGUUAUGUAGGAAUAGAUAACUAAAACAGAUGGGCAAAUAAAAUCUUUAUGUG
This 828-nucleotide long non-coding RNA is filed under the name Homo sapiens (human). Its description in RNAcentral is "HSALNT0384638". The record is from RNAcentral. Lineage: Eukaryota; Metazoa; Chordata; Mammalia; Primates; Hominidae.